Molecule: transfer RNA, 71 nt
Filed under: Ictidomys tridecemlineatus (thirteen-lined ground squirrel)
Lineage: Eukaryota; Metazoa; Chordata; Mammalia; Rodentia; Sciuridae
Description: Spermophilus tridecemlineatus (thirteen-lined ground squirrel) tRNA
Rfam family: tRNA
About the family: Transfer RNA (tRNA) molecules are approximately 80 nucleotides in length. Their secondary structure includes four short double-helical elements and three loops (D, anti-codon, and T loops).
Source: Rfam by way of RNAcentral
GGGGUUAUGGCUCAGAGGUAGAGCACUCACCUACAAUGCGUGGGGCACUGAGUUCGAUCCUCAGAACCACA